RNAcentral lists this ribosomal RNA (1056 nucleotides) under Triticum aestivum (bread wheat). RNAcentral's name for it is "partial small subunit ribosomal RNA". The record is from RNAcentral. Lineage: Eukaryota; Viridiplantae; Streptophyta; Magnoliopsida; Poales; Poaceae.
CCUCUCCCCCCAUUCACUCCAUCGACGAAGCGCACGGAGGGUAACUGCGCAGGAGGAAACCGGCGAAGGACGCGGCGGCGGCUCCGGGCGUGGACAUGGACGAGAAGACGCAGGAUAAAGUGGAGGCGGCGGUGCUGGAGAUCCUGCGGGGCUCCGACAUGGAGUCCCUGACGGAGUACAAGGUCCGCACCGCCGCCGCCGACCGCCUCGGCAUCGACCUCGACCUCCCCCUCCACAAGCGCUUCGUGCGACGCCUCGUGGAGGACUACCUCAAGUCCCUCGCCGAAGAAGAAGACGAGAAGCAGAAGGGCGGCUCCCGCAAGGAGGGGAAAAAGAAACAGCAGCGUCAGGAGGAGGAAGGGCAGGAAGAGGAUGAGGAGAAGGAGGGGGAAGAGGAGGAGGAGGAGGAGGAGGACAAGGGAGGUGAAGGAAAAAAGGAGUUCGACGAUAAUGGAGACCUCAUCCUCUGCCGCCUGUCGAAGAACAGGAGGGUGACGCUGCAGGAGUUUAAGGGCAAAACGCUGGUGUCUAUCCGCGAGUACUACUUCAAGGACGGCAAGGAACUGCCCACCUCCAAAGGGAUGAGUAUGACGGUCGAGCAGUGGGAGACAUUCAGCAAAUCAGUACCCGCAAUAGAAGACGCCGUCAAAACACUUGGAGAAUCAGAUUGAAAGGAUGCCACAAAAACCUUAAAAUCUCGACGCUCGUUCUGGACCUCUGCAAGUAGAGUAGUCCAUGGGUGCUCUGAGUACUCCAUGGGGCUACUAGAGUUCAUCUGGACUUGUAUAACGGGCCCUUAAGGCUAUGGUGGACCGAAGUACCGGACCUACUGAUGUGUGCUGGGUAGACAGUUUGGGUGUGUUCGCGAACUAGUUCUCCGCCGGUAUGGUGGACCGAAGUUUCAUCGCUGUGCCAUGUGAUCUCGUGCUGUUUAAUUGUCCUUUCUGAUAUCGUAAGAUAUAACGGGCCCUUAAGGCUAUCGUUGUGAGAGAGUAGGACAACUGCUGAAAGCUGUCGGUUUCGGCUCAAGUUAAAUCAUUGAUCUUGAUGUUCACA